This 925-nucleotide ribosomal RNA is filed under the name uncultured bacterium. Its description in RNAcentral is "bacterial SSU rRNA". It matches the Rfam family "Bacterial small subunit ribosomal RNA", at positions 8 to 916 of the family's 1533-position model. The record is from RNAcentral.
AGAGUUUGAUCAUGGCUCAGGACGGACGCUGGCGGCGUGCUAAUACAUGCAAGUCGGACGAACCAGGAAGGGAACUUGUUCCUUUCUUGGUUAGUGGCAGACGGGUGAGUAACACGUGGAGAACCUACCUUUCAGCGGGGGAUAACCAUUGGAAACGAUGACUAAUACCGCAUAGGACUUUGAGUCACCUGACUUAAAGAGGAAAGACGGCUUCGGCUGUCACUGAAAGAUGGCUCCGCGGUGCAUUAGCUAGAUGGUAAGGUAACGGCUUACCAUGGCCAUGAUGCAUAGCCGACCUGAGAGGGUGAUCGGCCACAUUGGGACUGAGACACGGCCCAAACUCCUACGGGAGGCAGCAGUAGGGAAUCUUCCGCAAUGGACGCAAGUCUGACGGAGCAACGCCGCGUGUGUGAAGAAGGUCUUCGGAUCGUAAAACUCUGUUGUUGGAGAAGAACAAGUAGGAGAGUAACUGCUCUUACCUUGACGGUACCCAACCAGAAAGCCACGGCUAACUACGUGCCAGCAGCCGCGGUAAUACGUAGGUGGCAAGCGUUGUCCGGAUUUAUUGGGCGUAAAGCGAGCGCAGGCGGUUCCUUAAGUCUGAUGUGAAAGCCCACGGCUCAACCGUGGAAGGUCAUUGGAAACUGGGGAACUUGAAUGCAGAAGAGGAGAGUGGAAUUCCAUGUGUAGCGGUGAAAUGCGUAGAUAUAUGGAGGAACACCAGUGGCGAAGGCGGCUUCCUGGUCUGUAACUGACACUGAGGCGCGAAAGCGUGGGGAGCAAACAGGAUUAGAUACCCUGGUAGUCCACGCCGUAAACGAUGAGUGCUAAGUGUUGGGGGUCGAACCUCAGUGCUGAAGUUAACGCAUUAAGCACUCCGCCUGGGGAGUACGGUCGCAAGACUGAAACUCAAAUGAAUUGACGG